AAAAACUCAAUCUUGUACUCAUUAAGACAUGGAUUUAUGUAAAACAAUUCCAAACACACAGGAGUCCUGGAACUCAAGGAUUCAAAGGCAAAUGCAAAUACAAAAUGAUGGCUGGUGAGUGAGGGCUAAAAAAAAAAGAAAGAAGGAAUUCUUUUCAAUGGGCCUUAAAAACAACGUCUUUACAUAGUAUGAAAGUAAUUCAAACACUUAAAAAAAAAGUUAAUAAGCAGGCUUUCUCAAGUAAUGAGAUAUUUUAAAGGG
This 261-nucleotide long non-coding RNA is filed under the name Pan troglodytes (chimpanzee). Its description in RNAcentral is "long non-coding RNA NONPTRT000882". The record is from RNAcentral. Lineage: Eukaryota; Metazoa; Chordata; Mammalia; Primates; Hominidae.